GGAGGGGAGUCAGAAAAUGGCGGGAAUACUUGUCUGGCUCAUAAAUAUUAAUGAUAUGCAAAUUUCUGAUCGGCUAACAGCAAUACGACUCUUCCCCUGCCUUUGUUUGGUCUUCUUUCUUGGGUUAAAAAAAUGCAACGUUGCUAAUUUAUCUAUACAAAUGAAUGUGUUCUGACCAAGCCCCCACAAUGCCGCUCUAAAAAUGGUCCCAUCCCGGAAGUAAGAAAAAUUGCAGUUCCACCCUCAUCCGCUGGGGGCUGGUGCCAGAAGCGAGCAAAUCCUCAUUGACUCCCAUGUUAAAAAUGCCGAUUUCACAGCAGAAAUAAACAUGUUUAAAGCCUGGUACCAAAACAUGUUUUUUGUCUAAAUUAUCUAGUUUAUACUCAUGACAACUCUGAGGGGGGUGAAUUUUUUUCUCACUCUUCUGUUUAAGUGUAUUGAAAGCCUAAAAUUCUGUAUAAUUAAUGAGCAUCCGACACACGUGACCGCCGCCUCAGACCCACGUGACCACAGAGCUAGCUCCGUGGAAAGGCCUCAGUACAGCCUCGGUCUGGCUUGGAAACUGCUCCGGCAUUUUGAGUCUCUGUGUUUGUGUAUUCUUCUUUGGAUAUUAUUGGUGCAAUUGUUGGACAAAAUGACUUGCAGUGGUAUUAAUUGCACUAAUAGAGCGUCCAAGGAGUCUCCACUUCAUUUUUUUCGGGAAGGACCUGAUUGGUGUCCAGAACCUGCUGAAGAAGCACCAGGCUCUGCAGGCUGAGAUCACAGGUCAUGAACCUCGCAUCAAGGCUGUCACCCAGAAAGGAGAGACCAUGGUGGAAGAAGGUCACUUCGCUGGUGAGGAAGUGAAGACUAAACUGUGGGAGCUUCAUGGACGUUGGGACACGCUGAAGGCCAAGGCGUCCCAGAGGAGGCAGGACCUGGAGGACUCUCUGCAGGCCCAGCAGUACUUUGCGGAUGCUAAUGAGGCCGAGUCCUGGAUGAGGGAGAAGGAGCCCAUCGUUGGAAGUCCAGACUAAGGGAAAGACGAGGACUUGGCCGAGGCUCUCCUGAAGAAGCACGAGGCCCUGAUGUCGGACCUGUCGGCUUACGGCAGCAGCAUCCAGGCCCUGAAGGAGCAGGCCCAGUCCUGCAGGGACCUGAAGGCCAACGAGUCCCGCCUGAGGGACAUCAACAAGGUGGCAUCUGAACUGGAGUCAGAAGGUCUGAUGGCUGAGGAGGCUCCUAUGGUUCAGGCUCAGGUGAGCGUCACCUGUCUGCAGCAGCUGGUCCCUCUCACUUCCUGGUUUAACUCUGCUCGUCUCUGUUUGUAGCAACAAGAACAUCUGGGUUCUGCUCC
This is a non-coding RNA of Nothobranchius furzeri (turquoise killifish), 1336 nucleotides long. Lineage: Eukaryota; Metazoa; Chordata; Actinopteri; Cyprinodontiformes; Nothobranchiidae. The record is from RefSeq and is a predicted model, not a curated record.